CUACGGGAGGCAGCGGUGGGGAAUAUUGCACAAUGGGCGCAAGCCUGAUGCAGCCAUGCCGCGUGUAUGAAGAAGGCCUUCGGGUUGUAAAGUACUUUCAGCGGGGAGGAAGGGAGUAAAGUUAAUACCUUUGCUCAUUGACGUUACCCGCAGAAGAAGCACCGGCUAACUCCGUGCCAGCAGCCGCGGUAAUACGGAGGGUGCAAUCGUUAAUCGGAAUUACUGGGCGUAAAGCGCACGCAGGCGGUUUGUUAAGUCAGAUGUGAAAUCCCCGGGCUCAACCUGGGAACUGCAUCUGAUACUGGCAAGCUUGAGUCUCGUAGAGGGGGGUAGAAUUCCAGGUGUAGCGGUGAAAUGCGUAGAGAUCUGGAGGAAUACCGGUGGCGAAGGCGGCCCCCUGGACGAAGACUGACGCUCAGGUGCGAAAGCGUGGGGAGCAAACAGGAUUAGAUACCCCUGUAGUC
Molecule: ribosomal RNA, 464 nt
Filed under: uncultured bacterium
Lineage: Bacteria
Description: partial 16S ribosomal RNA
Rfam family: Bacterial small subunit ribosomal RNA
Source: RNAcentral